AUACGGAGGAUGCAAGCGUUAUCCGGAUUUAUUGGGUUUAAAGGGUGCGUAGGCGGUUUGCUAAGCGGGAGGUGAAAUGCCGGCGCUCAACGUCGGAAGUGCCUCCCGAACUGGUGGACUGGAAUGACUCUGCCGUGGGAGGAAUGUGUAGUGUAGCGGUGAAAUGCUUAGAGAUUACACAGAACACCGAUUGCGAAGGCAUCUCACGAAGGGUUGAUUGACGCUGAGGCACGAAAGCGUGGGGAUCAAACAGGACUAGAUACCCUGGUAGUCCACGCAGUAAACGAUGAUGGCUAACCGCUGGUUUAUUCGGAUCAGUGGCCAAGCGAAAGCGAUAAGCCAUCCACCUGGGGAGUACGACCGCAAGGUUGAAACUCAAAUGAAUUGGCGGGG
This 393-nucleotide ribosomal RNA is filed under the name uncultured bacterium. RNAcentral's name for it is "partial 16S ribosomal RNA". It matches the Rfam family "Bacterial small subunit ribosomal RNA", at positions 523 to 918 of the family's 1533-position model. The record is from RNAcentral.